This 467-nucleotide ribosomal RNA is filed under the name uncultured bacterium. RNAcentral's name for it is "partial 16S ribosomal RNA". It matches the Rfam family "Bacterial small subunit ribosomal RNA", at positions 29 to 507 of the family's 1533-position model. The record is from RNAcentral.
ACGAACGCUGGCGGCGUGCUUAAUACAUGCAAGUCGAACGGAAAGGCCCUGCUUUUGUGGGGUGCUCGAGUGGCGAACGGGUGAGUAACACGUGAGUAACCUGCCCUUGACUUUGGGAUAACUUCAGGAAACUGGGGCUAAUACCGGAUAGGAGCUCCUGCUGCAUGGUGGGGGUUGGAAAGUUUCGGCGGUUGGGGAUGGACUCGCGGCUUAUCAGCUUGUUGGUGGGGUAGUGGCUUACCAAGGCUUUGACGGGUAGCCGGCCUGAGAGGGUGACCGGCCACAUUGGGACUGAGAUACGGCCCAGACUCCUACGGGAGGCAGCAGUGGGGAAUAUUGCACAAUGGGCGGAAGCCUGAUGCAGCAACGCCGCGUGCGGGAUGACGGCCUUCGGGUUGUAAACCGCUUUCGCCUGUGACGAAGCGUGAGUGACGGUAAUGGGUAAAGAAGCACCGGCUAACUACGUG